AGUCGAAACUACUAGGUCUAUCCUAGUAGUCCGCAGAGGAAUAGCCGCCCUGCGCUGAUGAGACAGGCUAAU
RNAcentral lists this non-coding RNA (72 nucleotides) under Megasphaera sp. SW808. Lineage: Bacteria; Bacillati; Bacillota; Negativicutes; Veillonellales; Veillonellaceae. The record is from RNAcentral.